RNAcentral lists this long non-coding RNA (961 nucleotides) under Manihot esculenta (cassava). RNAcentral describes it as "long non-coding RNA (MESC_LNC012469)". Lineage: Eukaryota; Viridiplantae; Streptophyta; Magnoliopsida; Malpighiales; Euphorbiaceae. The record is from RNAcentral.
CAUUACAUCUCAAAUAUAACUCUUCAUUACUUUAGUCUCUACCAUCUUUAACUUCUCAUAGCUCCUUCCUAUCAUCCAUCAAUAUAACUGGCCCUGCAAAAAUGGGAAUAGGGGAGAGGGAUGAGCUUCUAAAGCCCAGUGAGUGGAAUCCAUAAAAACCAUUCAUUAAAACACAUGCUCUUAUGUCAUACUUCACAUUACAAUAAUACACAUCAAGGAAGAAGUUGUCACCUAUAGCCCUCUUCCUAACUGACUCACUUGUACAAUUUCUUUUGUACUUCACUUUCUGAAAACAGAUUUGUCAGGGCGAUUAGGCCUCCUGACUGAGUUCUGAAAACGUUUUGUCAGGGCGAUUAGGCCUCCUGACUAGCUCAUGAAAACAUUUUGUCAGGGCGAUUAGGCCUCCUGACUAACUUCCUGAAAACAUUUUGUCAGGGCGAUUAGGCCUCCUGACUAACUUCAUUUUGUCAGGGCGAUUAGGCCUCCUGACUAUACUGACUCAAUAAUAGGGGCGGUUAGGCCUCCCUGCUCAUACUCUUUAUGCUUGACUCUUCCAUUACUCUUUUCUCGACUUUUCAUGUCAUACUGAGGGCUAAAGGGUUAUUCAACAUUCAUCCGCAUACUCAUCCAGUUAUGCAAUGCAGCAUCUUCAUGGUUCUAGUGCAACAACCUAUUAUCUCAUGGCAUUCAUGAUGCAUGUCUCAUGUUCGUCACAUUAUUAUCUUUUAGUAUUACCCAUCCUAGCAUUAACAUGGCAAUUAUGAUGCAUGGAUCAUGCUGAAACAUUCUUUAAUUUAAAACAUGCAUAGUUAGUCCCACUCACCUGGAACCUCUGCUUUACUAACUUGGGCCAACUCUGUCCUGUAGCUAAACACCUCUCCUCUGAUCAAAUCCUACACAAAAGGACUCUUAUGAGGUGUUAAACAUCUCUAGCAUAACUCUAAAACACCUUCCCAAAACC